Molecule: long non-coding RNA, 1143 nt
Organism: Hippoglossus stenolepis (Pacific halibut)
Lineage: Eukaryota; Metazoa; Chordata; Actinopteri; Pleuronectiformes; Pleuronectidae
Exons: 3
Source: RefSeq, a predicted model, not a curated record
CGUCCGUCUGAGGGAGCUCAGCUGGGUCCAGAUGUGGAGUUACCUACUACUGCUCAGUCUUUUCAUCAGCUGCAGACUGAUGCAGGGAGACGCUGUGUUGGGCCACAGACACAAAAGAACAAGGUGUGACACGUAGGAAACACGGGAGCGUUGAGCGGAACCCAGGGGCGUCAAGGAGGAUGACAAUUUCAUUUUUGAGGGUGAUGCAGCACCUAAAGGCUCCACUCCGUGCCAGGCAGAGGAGGACGGCUCGAGAGGAGUUGGCUCAGGGAGGAGACGGAGAGGACGGAGGAGAAGACAGAGAGAAAUGAGGGAAAUCACGACAGAAACAGUGGAAGAAAAAAGUGGAUGGAUGGAUGGAUGGAUAGAUAGCGAUAUGUGUAAUUACAUUCAAGUGCAUGCAAAACACCAUAUUAAUGGAUAUAUUCAAAUGUGUGUUUUAUAUGUUUGGUGUAUACAAAUAUCCACUCGUUCUUUUUACUUCACAUACUUUUUAUACCUACUUAACAAACCAGAUAUGGAGCUAAAUUCAUGCCAAAUAUAAAAAGCCAUUAACAAACUAAUGUGUUUUGUUUUUCGCAAAUACAAAAUGCACCUGACAAACAACUACACAACACAUUUCCAGUAAAUUAUCCUUCAGAAACAAAAAGACGUUCACAUUUCAUCCAAAUACCCCAAAACGUGUCAUACAUGUGCAAAAAAAUAAAUAUUUACUGCACGUACACCACAAACAAUAUCGCUUUUGUCAUGAUCGUUUCGCCAGUGUGUCAUUUUGAAGAUUUUCUCACAAACGUGCUGAGUUAUUCACCCUCCAGGCCACAACAGCAGGUGUGAGACAAUCUACAGGCACCGGGAGGUCGAGAGCCAAGAAAUGGAAACACAAUCGCCACUGUCACACACGAACAGACAUCGUGGACGAGAGGAUGACGGCCUCCUGGCUGAGGAAGCUAAAAAACACUGGAUGAGUGGUGCAGGAGUCAGGACUGUGGUCACAGCAGCUGUUUGUAUCUCCACAGUCAAACCUGCGCCUGUAUUUGUUUUGUUUGUUUGUUAAGUUUUGGCAUUCUAAUUUAUAUUUGUGAGCUGGUUGCAACACAAUUUCUUACUGUGCACUUGCGUCUGAAUGACAAAGUGAAUCUUAUA